UCAGCAGCUUUCAGCCAGCCAAACGCUGUCUAUACACACGAGGAAGAGAUGGAGACUAUGAAGACUCUGCUGAAGGUUUAUCUGCUGCUGCUGAUCGGACCUCCCUUCACUCUGGAACAAUCAGUGGUCCAGUACAUCACCGAGCUCCAGGUGUCUCUGGAUGAAGCUGAAGAGACGUAUCUUAGCAGUCAAGGUUUCAUCAAAAUCGAUGUUGAUCUGAACAAAGGAGCUGAAGGAAA
Molecule: long non-coding RNA, 239 nt
Organism: Oreochromis aureus
Lineage: Eukaryota; Metazoa; Chordata; Actinopteri; Cichliformes; Cichlidae
Exons: 3
Source: RefSeq, a predicted model, not a curated record